Molecule: long non-coding RNA, 349 nt
Organism: Solanum tuberosum (potato)
Lineage: Eukaryota; Viridiplantae; Streptophyta; Magnoliopsida; Solanales; Solanaceae
Exons: 2
Source: RefSeq, a predicted model, not a curated record
AAAAAUCAGAAUACCAAAUUAUGUUUUCUGGUGAAUUACAGAGAAACACUUCCGUCAGUAUAAAAAAAGAAUUUUUGUCUGAGGUACCCUGAACCCUCUCCAUAUAUUGUUUGUUUGAAAUGGAAAAGGUUGGGCUUGGGACUAUAACUCCUUGUCAGCUGGAACAAUGAAUUUAGGUGUACUUGUGAUGUCUCCUUCGAUACAAAUAUUUGUUUUGGUUAUACUUUCUCUAAAAGUAUUUAAAUAUGAAUAGUUCUAAUAGACAAUGUAUUUAGGUAUUCUGCACAUAUUAUAGAUUGAAGUAUCUAUUGAGCAUAUUGAUGGCUAAAUAAAUAGAGAUGAUAUUUAA